Lepisosteus oculatus (spotted gar) is the source of this 602-nucleotide non-coding RNA. The record is from RefSeq and is a predicted model, not a curated record. Lineage: Eukaryota; Metazoa; Chordata; Actinopteri; Semionotiformes; Lepisosteidae.
UUGCCUUCAUAGGGAUCUCUAGCUCAUAUUAGACCCCUCCCAUCUUUGCAGCUAUUCGUUUGGCUUAACGAGAACCUACAUUUAACCGGACGGGUGUGGUAGUGGUUGGAAGUCGGAACACCUUAAAGGUGUACUGGAGCAGAGAUUUUUUUUUGGACCAAUGACGUUAGCCUUUGAUUGUAAAACUUAGAAACAGCAGAGUUCUCGGAAAUUAACGAUGUCUCAUCUCAGGAGAUCAUUGGCCUUUGCUUGGAAAACUUUUCCUGGCAUGCACGUGCGAAACUUUCGAGUUGGACAGGUUACCUUAAGUGCUGUAAAUCUGAAGGGUCGCAGUUUCUUAACACUGAAGGAUUUCACCUCGGAGGAGAUAAAGUAUCUUCUGUGGAUGUCAGCUGACCUGAAACACAAAAUUAAAGAGAAAGGACAGCAUCUCCCUUUGCUUCAGGGGAAGUCUCUUGCCAUGAUUUAUGAAAAGAGAAGCACCAGGACCCGCAUGUCCACAGAAGCAGGCUUUGCACUGCUGGGAGGGCAUCCCUGCUUCCUCACCUCACAAGAUAUUCACCUUGGCACCAAUGAGAGCACCACUGACACAGCCAGGUAAG